UCCAAAUUUGCUGGCAUUUUGAGUGCAGCAUUUUCACAGCAUCAUCUUUUAGGAUUUGAAAUAGCACGACUGGAAUUCCAUCACCUCCACUAGCUUUGUUUGUAGUAAUGCUUUCCAAAGCCCACUUGACUUCGCACUCCAGGAUGUCUGGCUCUAGCAUUUUCAUAGCACCUUAACCAGGAAUAGAUUGCAUCUCAAGAAACCACUCUGUUGAUCCAUAAGAAGUGACUCCUCAUCUAUUUGAAGUUUUAUUGUGAGAUUGCAACAAUUCCGUCCCAUCUUCAGGCUCCACAUCUAGUGCUAGUUCUUUUGCUACUUCCACCACAUCUACCGUUACUUCGUCUACUGAAAUCUUGAACUCCUCAAAGUCAUCCAUGAAGUUGGAGUCACCUUCUUCCAAGUUCUAUUAAUACACAACAAAAAGGGUUUUCCCUCCACCUCACCCUCUCACCUUUAAUCAGACUUGAAUGAUUCAUAUGAGAAGAAAAUGAGUGCUUCUGAAACCAGUGUCAUGAUUUAGAAGGUUUUAUUCAACUCCCACACUGAAUUGAAUGGUUUGUUUACUGCCUUUGUUUUUAGAAAUGAGAAUAAUGGAUGGGCACAAGAAUUAAAUGGUAAAAAUUCAUUUGGUUGGAGUAAACUACAUUGAAC
This is a long non-coding RNA of Bos taurus (domestic cattle), 651 nucleotides long. NCBI's taxonomy places the organism in Eukaryota, Metazoa, Chordata, Mammalia, Artiodactyla, Bovidae. The record is from Ensembl.